Molecule: small RNA, 421 nt
Filed under: uncultured Superficieibacter sp.
Lineage: Bacteria; Pseudomonadati; Pseudomonadota; Gammaproteobacteria; Enterobacterales; Enterobacteriaceae
Description: cspA thermoregulator
Rfam family: cspA thermoregulator
Source: RNAcentral
ACGGUUUGAUAUACAGACCAUAAAGCAGUUUAGUUAAGCAGUGUCCUUCAAGAGUACUCCAUUUGAUACCCUUCGUUGAGAGCUUUUCCUUUAACGCUUCAAAAUCUGUAAUGCACGCCAUAUUGCCGAAAGGCACUCAUAUAUCUUUUAAAGGUAAUCGCUAUGUCCGGUAAAAUGACUGGUAUCGUAAAAUGGUUCAACGCUGAUAAAGGCUUUGGUUUCAUCACUCCUGACGAUGGCUCAAAAGACGUGUUCGUACACUUCUCUGCUAUCCAGAACCAGGGUUACAAAUCUCUGGACGAAGGUCAGAAAGUGUCCUUCACCAUCGAAAGCGGCGCUAAAGGCCCGGCAGCUGGCAACGUAACCAGCCUGUAAGCUUAAACAGCUCAGAAUUCGAAUCCUCGCCUCGGCGGGGAUUUUU